AGCUUCUAAGCAGGUCCAGUGCCUGAGACCCUACAAAGCCCGGGAGUAUGACGAGGUGCGUCUUCAGAAAGCCGACAUCCUCAUCGUCACCCAGGAGAGCUCUGACGGUUGGGAAGAAGGCUACCGCCUGUCGGACGGCGACCCGCGGUUGGUUCCCUCUUCGCACGUGGAGGUGAUCACCAGCCACCCGCUCCCGGGUCAGGAACAUUGAGGAGUGCCUACAGCUCAGCCACAAGUCCUCGAGGUCCUCGGGCCACUGAACGCCGACCCUAAGCGAGGCACCCCCCCCCCCCCACCGCACCACCCAGCCCCGGUCGAACUGAGCGCAAAGAUUCGGGACCAGGACUGGGCUCCCGGAAAAAGAAAUUCCGAAGCCCGGGAUGCAUCCCUGCCUACUUUCCAGUCUCCCGAGGCCCACAAGCAGACGUGGAAAUCAAAGACCAGGCUCCGAAACCGGCCCUGUGCCAACAGCCAGAGAGCCCUGCAGAUUCCCAGACAGAUCUCGGCCGAGGCUAUCAACCUCCUGCCCACCUUCGAGGCUGCUGAGGCUAAGGACUCGCAGAGAAAUUGAGCCCCAGGCUCGAAACCUGGCCUACCUCCAAAAAACCCUAAGCCCCAAGGACUGCUGGCAAAAUUGAAGCCUCGUCAUCCCGUUUCCAUUCCCCUCAGAGGGAGCACACGUAUAGAGACCGAGGCCCGGGCUGCUAACCCCAGCCGAGUGUUCAAUUUGCCGAGGCACAGGCAAACCGAGGACAAGGCUUCAAGCCCACCAUGAUUCCGACGACUCCAGGCCCACACAGACCUCCAGAGAGACCGGACGCCGGGCUCCGCCUGCCAACCGCGCUUCCGGGCCAAGGGGUCGUGGACAAAGCGAGACACAGGCCGAGCCUACGGUCUGCUCGGGGGGAAAACGGGCAGGGAAAAAUUGAGCCCCAGGCUCCAAACCCGGCCUGGCCCCACCCAACGUACCCUGCGCUCCAGAAUGGGGGCCAGGCCUAGAGUCAAGGCGGGCAGGAUGCGCGGGGAACAGAACCCCUCACAGGCGAGGGAUCUCGUUGACGGGGCUGCUGCUGCACGGAGGACUCUGAGAAUCAAUAAAAUACAGGGGUUGCUUUUAA
Long non-coding RNA from Hypanus sabinus (Atlantic stingray), 1118 nucleotides. RefSeq lists it as uncharacterized. Lineage: Eukaryota; Metazoa; Chordata; Chondrichthyes; Myliobatiformes; Dasyatidae. The transcript is spliced from 2 exons. The record is from RefSeq and is a predicted model, not a curated record.